This 212-nucleotide unclassified non-coding RNA is filed under the name Glomus sp. RNAcentral's name for it is "partial contains 5.8S ribosomal RNA and internal transcribed spacer 2". The stretch from base 1 to 65 matches the Rfam family "5.8S ribosomal RNA", at positions 84 to 154 of the family's 154-position model. The record is from RNAcentral. Lineage: Eukaryota; Fungi; Glomeromycota; Glomeromycetes; Glomerales; Glomeraceae.
GUGAAUCAUCAAAUUUUUGAACGCAAAUUGCACUCUCUUCGGAGAGGAUGCCUGUUUGAGGGUCAGCCUAAAAAAAAAUAGACAUAGUCUCUGUUUCGCGAUUACAUUCGUCGGAAAUUGGGUCAUCUUAAACCUUUGUGGUUUAAGCGGCUUAAAAUUUUCUUUACGAUUCCACGAACGUUUCUAAAAUUUAUUUUUUUUAUGUUUAAGGU